This 645-nucleotide ribosomal RNA is filed under the name Mrakia frigida. Its description in RNAcentral is "eukaryotic LSU rRNA". It matches the Rfam family "Eukaryotic large subunit ribosomal RNA", at positions 38 to 667 of the family's 3401-position model. The record is from RNAcentral. Lineage: Eukaryota; Fungi; Basidiomycota; Tremellomycetes; Cystofilobasidiales; Mrakiaceae.
GCAUAUCAAUAAGCGGAGGAAAAGAAACUAACAAGGAUUCCCCUAGUAACGGCGAGUGAAGCGGGAUGAGCUCAAUUUAAAAUCUGGCGGCCUCAGGUCGUCCGAGUUGUAGUCUAGAGAAUCGUUUUCCGCGUUGGCCUGUGUACAAGUCCCUUGGAACAGGGCGUCAUAGAGGGUGAGAAUCCCGUCCUUGACACAGACUACCAAUGCUUUGUGAUGCGAUCUCGAAGAGUCGAGUUGUUUGGGAAUGCAGCUCAAAAUGGGUGGUAAAUUCCAUCUAAAGCUAAAUAUUGGCGAGAGACCGAUAGCGAACAAGUACCGUGAGGGAAAGAUGAAAAGCACUUUGGAAAGAGAGUUAAACAGUACGUGAAAUUGUUAAAAGGGAAACGAUUGAAGUCAGUCAUGCUUUCCGAGACUCAGCCGAUUCUGUCGGUGUACUUCUCGGUUGGCAGGCCAGCAUCAGUUUCGAUCUGUGGAAAAGGUUGGAGGGAACGUGGCAUCCUCGGAUGUGUUAUAGCCCUUCUUCGAAUACAUAGAGCGGGACUGAGGAACGCAGCGCGCCUUUUAUUAGGUUGGCCCUCGGGUACAUACGCGCUUAGGAUGCUGGCAUAAUGGCUUUAAACGACCCGUCUUGAAACACGGACC